Molecule: ribosomal RNA, 1213 nt
Filed under: Ortalotrypeta isshikii
Lineage: Eukaryota; Metazoa; Arthropoda; Insecta; Diptera; Tephritidae
Description: partial 16S ribosomal RNA
Source: RNAcentral
GCAAAUCAAUAUAAAUUGAUUUAUUAAUAUUUAUUUAUUAAUUUUUUUUUUGUUUUAUUUAAUGUAUUAAAAAUAAUUAUAUAAAAAUAAUUUUUUAGUAAUUUUUAAUGAAAAAAUAAUUUUUAUGGUAGUGUAGUAGGUAUUGUGAAAGGGUAUUGAAAUAUUUUGAAAAAUUUUUGUAUAUAAAGAAAAUUUAUUUUAUUGUACCUUGUGUAUCAGGGUUUAUUAAAUAAAUAAUAAAUAUUUAUUAAUCUCGAUUUUUUAAGAGUUAAUGAUUUAUAAAAGUUAAUGUAUUAAAAUUAUUUUAUAUAAAUCAUUGGAAAUGAAAUGUUAUUCGUUUAAAAAGGUAUCUAGUUUUUUUAGAAAUAAAUUUAAUUUACAAAUUUUUAAAUUUUAAUUUAAUUUAAUAAAUUAAAAAAUUAUUAAUUUGAAUAUUUUAAGGGAUAAGCUUUAAAAUAAAUUAUUAAAAAUUGUAAUAAAUUAAUUUAAAUGUAUGUGUAGAAUUAGCAAUCAUUAUUAAGUUUGUUAUAAAAUAUUUGUUUAUGAAUAUUAUUUAUUUUAUUUUAAUUUUUUUAUAAAAAUGUUUUUGAAAAUUUUUCUUAAAAAUUAAUAAUGAUAAAAUUAGUAUAGUUUAAUGUUUAAAUAAAUUAAAUUGUUAAGUUUAAGUAAAGAACUCGGCAAAUAAAAUAUUCCCGCCUGUUUAACAAAAACAUGUCUUUUUGAGUUAUUUUUAAAGUCUAACCUGCCCAAUGAAUUUUUAAAUGGCCGCAGUAUUCUAACUGUGCAAAGGUAGCAUAAUCAUUAGUCUUUUAAUUGAAGGCUGGAAUGAAUGGUUGGACGAGGAAUAAGCUGUUUCAUUUAAAUUUAUUAUAGAAUUUUAUAUUUUAGUUAAAAAGCUAAAUUAUUAUUAAAAGACGAGAAGACCCUAUAAAUCUUUAUAAUUAUUUAUUUUUAAAUUUUUUUGAUUUAUUUUGUUUUUAAAUAGGUAAUUAUUUUGUUGGGGUGAUGUUAAAAUUUAAUGAACUUUUAAUUAAAAAAAUCAUUUAUUUAUGAUCAGUUGAUCCUUUAAUAAUGAUUAUAAGAUUAAGUUACUUUAGGGAUAACAGCGUAAUUUUUUUGGAGAGUUCUUAUCGAUAAAAAAGUUUGCGACCUCGAUGUUGGAUUAAGAUAAAGGUUAGGUGUAGCUGUUUAACUAUUAAGUCUGUUCGACUUU